GUAGUUGUGACCUAGUGUUGAAAGUGAUGGACUAGAAAUCCAUCCCUGGGCAGGUUUGAAUCCUGCCAACUACA
Molecule: transfer RNA, 74 nt
Filed under: Colius striatus (speckled mousebird)
Lineage: Eukaryota; Metazoa; Chordata; Aves; Coliiformes; Coliidae
Rfam family: tRNA
About the family: Transfer RNA (tRNA) molecules are approximately 80 nucleotides in length. Their secondary structure includes four short double-helical elements and three loops (D, anti-codon, and T loops).
Source: Rfam by way of RNAcentral